UUCCCUCUGUUGCUAUAAUAGGAGCUCGAUUUUCUCUGUCUGUUCUUUAGAUCUGUUUAUUGUACAUGUAGAAACCAUUUCCGAACAGAAUGUGGCAGCAUAUGCUUAUUUGGUUUCUGUAGUUGACUCUUUUCACCUGUAGGUUAUUUUUUGCACGAUAUUAUUGUCAAAUGUAUUUGAAGCCUAUCAUCUCGUUCUGAAAUACAUCCUCUACGGGACUUUUGUUAUGAAAGGGGGAUUUUUAUGUCUUUCCUCCAUUCGUUGACGUCACGCUCGUGAAAUUGACAGGCCACCUGGGGAAGAGUCGGGAUUUAAAGAGAUACGUCCGUCGCAUAAACUGGAGGUUGUGUUACCGCACAUGGCACAAAGAUUCACUGUCAAUACAUUCGGUUCCAGUUCCAGGUCCAUCGGUGGCGCGGACAACAUCUGCAAGAUAUUACGGGGGACGAGGGGUGAGACCACAAGAGAUCAAGCCCGAUGGGAUUGUGCUCACAUCAACAGACAAUUCUCAGAGACAGAUCUCAAGGGUUCUGGCUGACAGGGUCUGUUUUUCUCCAACAGAGUCACGGUUGUGUGAAGUGACAUGCCGAGCAUUGCCUUCUUCUCCACUGGUCUAUUAUGCAGAGGGGAGCAGAACACAUUUCCCACCCCCACAUCCUUCCAAUUUCAGCAAUGAAAAAUGAAAGCCCAUUUCCCACAGGGCUCCUAGGAAAGAGCAAGCACAGGUAAUUAAGUGGAGCUACGCUCAGCCCCUUGUCAAGGCAAUUACCACAAAUCAUAUGCUCUUACUGGCUCUAAUUACAGUGGAUCUGUCUGUCCGCCUUUCCUGGCAGCCUCACUCUCCUCAUAGCAUUUUUACAACAAUAGCAAUUAUGCCAUGUACCAUUUACAUGUGUAACUUCUAUAGUCAAAAUAGAUGUUGCUUGUAGGGGCUUACCGCAAGUCAAUUGUCCUACAAGAG
This is a long non-coding RNA of Oncorhynchus tshawytscha (Chinook salmon), 961 nucleotides long. RefSeq lists it as uncharacterized. NCBI's taxonomy places the organism in Eukaryota, Metazoa, Chordata, Actinopteri, Salmoniformes, Salmonidae. The record is from RefSeq and is a predicted model, not a curated record. The transcript is spliced from 5 exons.